ACUUGUUGAACAUACCCGUACCCGUUUGCUUCGGCGGGCGGCCCCAGGGAGGGGCCGCAGCCUCCAUUGCGGAGGCGCCCGCCGGAGGACACCAAAACAUACCUAUAUUUUUGUGGCCCUUCUGAGCGAUAGCGCAAAUAAUUAAAACUUUCAACAACGGAUCUCUUGGUUCUGGCAUCGAUGAAGAACGCAGCGAAAUGCGAUAAGUAAUGUGAAUUGCAGACUUCAGUGAAUCAUCGAAUCUUUGAACGCACAUUGCGCCCGCCAGCAUUCUGGCGGGCAUGCCUGUCCGAGCGUCAUUUCAACCCUCAAGCUCUGCUUGGUGUUGGGGCACUACGGUUGACGUAGGCCCUGAAAAUUAGUGGCGGGCUCGCUGUGGGUCCGGGCGUAGUAGCGAUAUCUCGCCUGCGGCCCCCAGCAAGCUCCAGCCGUUAAACCCCCCAAAUUACAGAAGGUUGACCUCGGAUCAGGUAGGACUACCCGCUGAACUUAAGCAUAUCAAUAAGCGGA
Molecule: ribosomal RNA, 510 nt
Filed under: Phialemonium atrogriseum
Lineage: Eukaryota; Fungi; Ascomycota; Sordariomycetes; Cephalothecales; Cephalothecaceae
Description: eukaryotic LSU rRNA
Rfam family: 5.8S ribosomal RNA (bases 146-299)
Source: RNAcentral